GAUCAUGGCUCAGGACGAACGCUGGCGGCGCGCCUAACACAUGCAAGUCGAACGGAGAUGAUAAAAGCUUGCUUUGAUCAUCUUAGUGGCGGACGGGUGAGUAACACGUGAGCAACCUGCCUUUCAGAGGGGGAUAACGUUUGGAAACGAACGCUAAUACCGCAUAACGUAUACGGAUGGCAUCAACUGUAUACCAAAGGAGCAAUCCGCUGAAAGAUGGGCUCGCGUCCGAUUAG
This 236-nucleotide ribosomal RNA is filed under the name uncultured bacterium. RNAcentral's name for it is "partial 16S ribosomal RNA". It matches the Rfam family "Bacterial small subunit ribosomal RNA", at positions 15 to 244 of the family's 1533-position model. The record is from RNAcentral.